CCUACGGGGGGCAGCAGUGAGGAAUAUUGGUCAAUGGACGAGAGUCUGAACCAGCCAAGUAGCGUGAAGGAUGACUGCCCUAUGGGUUGUAAACUUCUUUUAUAUGGGAAUAAAAUGUUCCACGUGUGGGAUUUUGUAUGUACCCUAUGAAUAAGGAUCGGCUAACUCCGUGCCAGCAGCCGCGGUAAUACGGAGGAUCCGAGCGUUAUCCGGAUUUAUUGGGUUUAAAGGGGGCGUAGGUGGAUUGUUAAGUCAGUUGUGAAAGUUUGCGGCUCAACCGUAAAAGUGCAGUUGAAACUGGCAGUCUUGAGUACAGUAGAGGUGGGCGGAAUGCGUGGUGUAGCGGUGAAAUGCUUAGAUAUCACGAAGAACUCCGAUUGCGAAGGCAGUUCACUGGACUGCAACUGACACUGAGGCUCGAAAGUGUGGGUAUCAAACAGGAUUAGAUACCCGAGUAGUC
This 460-nucleotide ribosomal RNA is filed under the name uncultured bacterium. RNAcentral's name for it is "partial 16S ribosomal RNA". It matches the Rfam family "Bacterial small subunit ribosomal RNA", at positions 338 to 795 of the family's 1533-position model. The record is from RNAcentral.